GAGUUUGAUCUUGGCUCAGGACGAACGCUGGCGGCGUGCCUAAUACAUGCAAGUCGAACGAAACUUUCUUACACCGAAUGCUUGCAUUCACCGUAAGGAGUUGAGUGGCGGACGGGUGAGUAACACGUGGGUAACCUGACCUAAAAGAAGGGAUAACACUUGGAAACAGGUGCUAAUACCGUAUAUCUCUAAGGAUCGCAUGAUCCUUAGAUGAAAGAUGGUUCUGCUAUCGCUUUUAGAUGGACCCGCGGCGUAUUACUAGUUGGUGGGUACGCCUACCAAGGUGAUGAUACGUAGCCGAACUGAGA
RNAcentral lists this ribosomal RNA (308 nucleotides) under uncultured bacterium. RNAcentral's name for it is "bacterial SSU rRNA". It matches the Rfam family "Bacterial small subunit ribosomal RNA", at positions 9 to 297 of the family's 1533-position model. The record is from RNAcentral.